ACUAGCCGUGCGAGUCAUUGUAGCAAUACAAGGCAGACGGCUCAGUAACGCGUAGUCAAUCUACCCUAUGGACGGGAAUAACCUCGGGAAACUGAGAAUAAUGCCCGAUAGAACAUUAUGCCUGGAAUGGUUUAUGUUUCAAAUGAUUUAUCGCCAUAGGAUGGGACUGCGGCCUAUCAGUUUGUUGGUGAGGUAAUGGCCCACCAAGACUAUUACAGGUACGGGCUCUGAGAGGAGUGGCCCGGAGAUGGGUACUGAGACACGGACCCAGGCCCUAUGGGGCGCAGCAGGCGAGAAAACUUUGCAAUGUGCGAAAGCACGACAAGGUUAAUCCGAGUGGUUUCUGCUAAAGAAACCUUUUGUCAGUCCUAGAAACACUAACGAAUAAGGGGUGGGCAAGUUCUGGUGUCAGCCGCCGCGGUAAAACCAGCACCUCAAGUGGUCAGGAUGAUUAUUGGGCCUAAAGCAUCCGUAGCCCGUUUUGUAAGUUUUCGGUUAAAUCCAUGCGCUUAACGUAUGGGCUGCCGGGAAUACUGCAUAACUAGGAAGUGGGAGAGGUAGACGGUACUCGGUAGGAAGGGGUAAAAUCCUUUGAUCUAUUGAUGACCACCUGUGGCGAAGGCGGUCUACCAGAACACGUUCGACGGUGAGGGAUGAAAGCUGGGGGAGCAAACCGGAUUAGAUACCCGGGUAGUCCCAGCUGUAAACUAUGCAAACUCAGUGAUGCAUUGGCUUGUGGCCAAUGCAGUGCUGCAGGGAAGCCGUUAAGUUUGCCGCCUGGGAAGUACGUACGCAAGUAUGAAACUUAAAGGAAUUGGCGGGGGAGCACCACAAGGGGUGAAGCCUGCGGUUCAAUUGGAGUCA
This 864-nucleotide ribosomal RNA is filed under the name uncultured archaeon. Its description in RNAcentral is "bacterial SSU rRNA". It matches the Rfam family "Archaeal small subunit ribosomal RNA", at positions 44 to 914 of the family's 1478-position model. The record is from RNAcentral.